UCCACUGAAUGGUCAGAAAGUCUAAGAAAAGGGGGAAUCUGAUGGCCACAACACCGAAGUGUCAAGUGGCAGUCACAGCCAUGGAAAAUCAAAGCCCCUGCCCCUUUUUUAUACGCAUCACAAUGGAUGUAAAAAAAGGUGGGGCUUCAGUCACAUGGUUGUAGCCACCAUCUUGACUCAUUUUGUCCCUUCCUUGCAGACAUCCCUGCCACAACAAAAUAUUUGGGGGGCUGUACGUUGCCCAUCUCUAUUUAAUAAUACAUUUUGAGAUCUUUAGACUACGAUCAGUUUACGAUAUAAUGUAGAUAAUCCAGGCUGCCAAUAAUUCUUUGGGAGUUUAGUAUUCCAGCCUCUCAUCUGAUUAGCCCUGUAUCUGCUGGGAUGUAGACCAUCCAGAGCUCAGGGAGGAAUGGGUGGACAGAAAGGGAAAGAAAAAUUAAUUUUGGGUAUUACAGCUUCUAUUGCAAGACUUUAUCUUAUUUUUUUUUCUCAUGAUCAUUUUCAUUUUGGAGGUGGAUCAGUUGCCUUUGGAAGACCUCUACAGCGUACUGGGCGAAAGCCAGUCCCUGCAUUGGGAUGUCCUCCUCCAGCACCCAAGAUGGCUCAAGAACCAGCACCUUCCAACGCUAAGGAGGAAGAGUCUCCUCUUUUGAAGUUGGUAUCCCUGCAGAAUGCAGAUGGCUCCUGGCCUCAUGGGUCUGCCCUAGCCACCCUACUAGGCCUGAGUGAGGCUGAGAUCUCAGACAAAGCACCAGCCCAUGUGGCCCCAAACAUAUGGGCCACGGUGCUGGCUAUCCUUGGGCUUCAUAGGAAUGCUGCAGAGCAGAAAGAUGAGUGGGAACUGCUGGAAGGAAAAGCUGUCCAUUGGCUCCAAUUAAA
This is a non-coding RNA of Python bivittatus (Burmese python), 879 nucleotides long. Lineage: Eukaryota; Metazoa; Chordata; Lepidosauria; Squamata; Pythonidae. The record is from RefSeq and is a predicted model, not a curated record.